AGAACAUACAUAAAAUAUGAGUUCAAUUUAAUUUUGUUUUAAUAAGAUCCCUUAUCUCCACGAUAAGUGAAUCUUACAUAAAAAUAUCCCCCCGCCAAAGACACUUUUCAACGUCCUCGAACAAAUUCAAAGUGUUACUGCAAGUCAAUCUAUAAACUACUGUUAAUAAAUUAACUCAGAGCGAUUGUCAGUAACAAAACAUUUUAAUUGACCGACUAACGUGCCUGAUUUACUUACGAGUGUUUGGUGUUUUGUGCAAGUGCUUUCCAUGAUGCCUUCUUCUUAUUAUUCACCGAGUCCCGGUGAAAUAUCGAUAUCUGACGGCGAGAUUGAGGGGAACGAUUGCCUUUUGAGCAGUACCAUUCGAUUAGACGAUAAGUUUCUAAGUUACAGCAUAAUAUUGGACUCAGACAUGACGAUGGCGGCGUGCAAUAAUUCGCUAACAGCUACGUUAAGUAACGUUAGCGGAGGCGUCAACGCCAUCAGCCAACAGUGUGCCAUUUGCGGAGACAGAGCCACCGGAAAACAUUACGGCGCCGCCUCGUGUGACGGUUGCAAAGGAUUCUUCAGGCGCUCCGUCAGAAAAAAUCAUUUAUAUACGUGUCGAUUUAAUAGAAAUUGUGUAGUAGAUAAGGACAAAAGGAAUCAAUGUAGAUAUUGUAGACUAAGAAAAUGUUUUAAGGCUGGUAUGAAAAAAGAAGCUGUACAGAAUGAAAGGGACCGAAUAAGUUGUCGAAGGCCUAGUUACGAAGAAAACACUCAAAACAACGGGUUAUCAGUGGGAUCAUUAUUAAAUGCAGAAAUGUUAUCUAGGCAAGUAGGAGCAGCAUUAGAGCAAAUGGGUCCAAAUCCAGUAAACGAAUACGACAUAUCAGGUAGACAACUGGCCAGUAUAAACGACGUGUGUGAAUCAAUGAAACAGCAACUUUUAAUAUUAGUGGAAUGGGCUAAGUACAUCCCUGCCUUCACGGAGUUACAGUUGGACGAUCAGGUGGCCCUUCUUCGAGCACAUGCAGGUGAACACCUUCUAUUAGGAUUAGCCAGGAGGUCUAUGCACCUAAAAGACGUGCUUCUACUAGGAAAUAAUUGUAUAAUAACAAAAGAAUGUCCAGCUAUGAUACCAGAUCCUCGUAACGUAUCUCCAGAUAUGAGCAUCUCCAGAGUCGGGACCAGGAUCAUCGACGAGCUCGUCAAGCCCAUGAACGACGUCCAGAUCGACGACACCGAGUUCGCUUGCCUGAAAGCCAUAGUCUUCUUUGAUCCAAAUGCUAAAGGAUUGAGCGAACCAGCCAGAAUCAAAACUCUUCGGUAUCAAAUCCAAAUCAAUCUUGAAGAUUACAUCAGCGAUCGUCAAUACGACAGCAGAGGCCGCUUUGGAGAACUGUUGCUGACUCUUCCACCUCUACAAUCGAUAACGUGGCAGAUGAUCGAACAAAUCCAGUUUGCAAAACUUUUUGGAGUGGCACACAUCGAUAGUUUGUUACAGGAAAUGCUUCUUGGAGAUUAUAGAUCAUUUCAAAUCAGCUCUGUACAAUAUGGAUAUAAAGUUUAAGAAUAGAAUAGUUUAUCAUAGAUUGAAUAGAAGACUUUGAAUAGACUUGAAGAUCUUCAAAGAUGCUAAGCGCAAGCAUCGACGCCACUCCACCAGCACUGGUGGUCCCGAACAACAAUCACAUCAACAACAACAACAAUAGCUAUCAGAGCACCAGUGACUCAGCUGACAGUCCCAUCACUUCGCCUCUAGCCACACCCAACAGCCC
RNAcentral lists this unclassified non-coding RNA (1760 nucleotides) under Diabrotica virgifera virgifera (western corn rootworm). RNAcentral's name for it is "hepatocyte nuclear factor 4-gamma". Lineage: Eukaryota; Metazoa; Arthropoda; Insecta; Coleoptera; Chrysomelidae. The record is from RNAcentral.